RNAcentral lists this long non-coding RNA (1113 nucleotides) under Brachypodium distachyon (stiff brome). RNAcentral's name for it is "long non-coding RNA (BDIS_LNC001685)". Lineage: Eukaryota; Viridiplantae; Streptophyta; Magnoliopsida; Poales; Poaceae. The record is from RNAcentral.
GGCCGGGUACUUGCUUAUUUGACCGAGUACCUGUAACAUUUGAGGGUGUCCAUAUAUAUACUAUCAUUUCCAUUCUUUAUUGUCCUUCGUUAAACUUUUUUUUUAUUUUCCUUGACUUUAACAAAAUUCUCUAUCAUAUAUAAACAGGCAUGAAAAUAAACUAGCCAUUUUCUUGAAUGACUAUAAGCUCAUUAUCAUGCAUGAUGAACAAGAUGAAAGGAAAAAAAAACAGACUUCUUUCAUGACAAAGAAAAAAACUCGAAUAAAAAAAGUUAUGCAUAUUAAUACUGCAUUUCAGAUGAUUUAAAGGUUGGUUAUUGUUUCUAGAAUGGCCAACAUUAAUUUCUACAGACAGGGAGUAUACAAUGAGAUCAACCUCGAAGGUGGCCUUGGUUAGAAUGGAAGGAGCCGGAGCAUGCUUGGGCAGGCUCUGGCAACCGAUGCAAUGACACAUAAAUGGACAUUUUCUAUGCGGCUGCGUCUAUCACCCUUGGCAAUGGCCAAAAGCCAAGCUUCUUUUCACUCGCCAUGGCUCGAAGGUAAGAAGCCAAAAGAUUAAAGAUAUCACACAAAAAACUUCUCGGUCUCAAAGAAGAGAUGCACACAUGCAGGACCAUGCCUGGUUCUCAAGUAUCAAUAUUCAGGCUCUGCAUCCGGCCCUUGCAAGAUUUUCCAAAACUUUGGACCUUGAUCUCUAACAAUUAUCUCAUCGACUGUUGGAAUAUUAAUACUAUUCAUGUAUCAUAUACCAAUGAAAAAUACCAUUCACAUACCACAUUUCAUUGAUGAUACCAUAUACCAAUGAGGUAGGUUCGGCCUAUUGCCACGUGGCAGCCUCAGCAUGCACCGGUACAUGACGGAGCCGGUAGAAGCAAAGUAGUCCAAGCUAACUGUAGGUUGGAUGUCUAGAUGGGGAUUUUUUUUCCUUCUUUAAUUUUUUGCCUUUGAUGCCAGGCCAAACAUGUGAACUGCCCUACGGGCGGGCCGUUUAUAAGCUUCUGCAGUUCUGCGGCAAUAAAUAUCUGUCACGCCCAGCAGGCCCAUGGCAAGGAUGGCCCACUAGGUGACCAAGAAGCCCAACCAAGGAGGGGGACUCGACUACACAAGCAUGUC